AUCCUUUUGUAGUUCAUAAGCGUGUUUGAGUUUUCACACGUGUGAGAUAUGCCUCCCUCAAACCUUGUUACUACAUUAGCACAUUAACCAUGAGACA
Small nucleolar RNA from Papio anubis (olive baboon), 97 nucleotides. The record is from Ensembl. Lineage: Eukaryota; Metazoa; Chordata; Mammalia; Primates; Cercopithecidae.